Molecule: ribosomal RNA, 339 nt
Filed under: Streptococcus suis
Lineage: Bacteria; Bacillati; Bacillota; Bacilli; Lactobacillales; Streptococcaceae
Description: bacterial SSU rRNA
Rfam family: Bacterial small subunit ribosomal RNA
Source: RNAcentral
UUUUUAUGAGAGUUUGAUCCUGGCUCAGGACGAACGCUGGCGGCGUGCCUAAUACAUGCAAGUAGAACGCUGAAGUCUGGUGCUUGCACUAGACGGAUGAGUUGCGAACGGGUGAGUAACGCGUAGGUAACCUGCCUCAUAGCGGGGGAUAACUAUUGGAAACGAUAGCUAAUACCGCAUAACAGUAUUUACCGCAUGGUAGAUGCUUGAAAGGAGCAACUGCUUCACUAUGAGAUGGACCUGCGUUGUAUUAGCUAGUUGGUGAGGUAACGGCUCACCAAGGCUUCGAUACAUAGCCGACCUGAGAGGGUGAUCGGCCACACUGGGACUGAGACACGG